UGCAUGCUCGAGAAUCUAUGUUCGUACAUACAUACACAGACCAUAUAGAAUGAAAAAUAUGCUCUGGUCGUCCAGCAGAGUCGUGGACAAAAGUGAAGUUCACAAAAGACCUUCAUACAUAGGCCAUUGUUUCAACUCGUAGUUUAGGCCUUGCCAGACUCCUCGCAACCCGGUGGCCUGAAGGCAAUGAAGCUGACGCACUGCACCUGGCGUAGGUUGUCGAAGCCGAUGACGCGGACAUAGGCGUCAGGGUACUCCUUCUUGACCUCCUCCACCUCGUUGAGCACCUGUGUAGCGUCGGUGCACCCGAACAUAGGCAGCUUCCACAUUGUCCAGUAUCGACCAUCGUAGUACCCGGGGGAGCUGUUGUGCUCACGGAAAACGAAGCCAACCUUGCUGAACUCGAGGCAGGGCACCCACUUGGAGCGGAUCAAGUAGUCGACCUGCUUCAGGAGGGCCUCCGUGGAGAGGGGUGGCAAGUAAGACAGAGUCUCGAACUUCUUGAUGCCCUCAAUCGGCCACACCUGAAUGAAUAGAAUGCGCAGAUGCUCAAUACUUGGUGCUAAGUCAAUUGUACCAACAAUGCUAGAAAAAUCUGUUGAUAAGCCAAAAAUUGCUCCUGAUGGGCAGGUCUCAUAUGUAUUGUUCGUUUGUCCACAAUGAAGAAAGCUUAAGGGUAGCCCUUAAACUGAUGGGCACUCUGGAGGUACUAAGAUAAUUUUAUCUAGUCCAUGCUGCAAUAAAGAGUAUUUCCAUUCACUAAGUUAUGAGUUGAUGGCUUUUACAUACGGAUCCCAGCUUAUGGACAAGGCUGAAUGAGCAUCCAAAGCCAAAUGGUUUCCAUAGGCAACAAACCAAACAGAUAAUAAGGUUUCGGAAUAAUCUAUUGACCAAAUUAUGUUAUACAUUGGGGAUGUUCUGUAAGUGAAUUACUUGUACUGACAAAGAAACUCAUAUCAGUUUAAUUAGUGACCGACAUACCUGCAUGCACCUGAUCCUUCCGCCGUUGCUGACGCUGCUGAGGCCGGCGCUGCUGGAGCGGCGGCUGACGGGCAGGCCGGCGGUCGACUUGAGACCCUGGAAGGGUGCGACGGAGGUGGCCGAGGAAGCCAUCACAGUGGGGGCCAUGGUGUUGGAGGAGAGAAGGUGGCAGGCUAAGCUUGGCCCCCAUUGCUGGGUCACCACGGUAUAUAUAGCCAUAUAUGGCCAGCUCCUAUCUUUAAUCAAGAUGUGGAAGGGGUGGCUGGCGUUCGUUGGUUGCUUGGUUUCCUUAUCUCUCCGGAUUAGUGUAAGAGGCAUGGCCGUUGGAUGAGUUGUGUGUGCCCAAAAUUUCAGUCGUCCAUGUCAUUGUGUGAUUGCCACAAUCCUUUUUCCAGCCUUGCAUUACUGUAUUAUUCUUUUCGUUUCAUCUUGCUAAAGGUAACGCUUGAAAGGUGCACGAAGAACUCCCUUUGUUGAUUUGCGAUUUAAGUUCAGUGGCACAGGCAUAACGAAUGUUAUAGUACAUCCUUUAUCCACUUUUAUAAUACAAAACUUGUCAACCAGUUAUGCUUGCUUCUAAUCUUUGGUACUUCAUUUUAUAACAUUUUAUACAGGUAACUAACGUAUACUUGCUGCAUGUAUGAUGUGUGUCAUCAUGACCUUUAUGUACUUUAUUCACAAUUAUUCAUUGGAACACAAAAGUGUUGUACUAUUUUCUACACCUAAUCAUUUACAUGCCUUGGAGGAUUUUUAGUAUAGGAAAUGCUAUUUAACUGGCUGUCCAGGCAAGGUAUAACUUUGUUUUAAUCUAUGAGCUAAAGUUUUAGAUCCCUCUGUUAUCCAUUUGCUCAGUUCAUGCCGUCCCCAGUGAACUCAUAAAUUACAUAUGGUGAGUGAAUAUAGACCACAAAAAAUGGUAGAUGUAUGUUCAUUCAUUUCAUGAUGAUGAAGCAACCUGCAAAAUGAUGGAAUCGACCAUGACUACUCAGUGAUAUGGCAAUCAUGUAGGACGAUCAUCGUGAUCAUCCUCCCGAGUCGUCCCCGUGCGGCGGCUGGGAGUACCCCAGAUCCCGUCGCCCCCGACUCCCCCUCUCGUCCCCUCCUCCCUCACCGCCGCCCGAGGGCGCCGCCGGGCAAAGCCUUGCCGUCGCCGGCGGCGGCAGGGACUAGGUGCCCUCCCGCUCGUGAGGAGCUGGCGCGGACCAGCGCCCCCGGGCUGGAGCGUGGCGUGCAUCUGGAUGUCAUGACGGGGGCUGGCGGCGCUCCUGCGAUCCCAUACCUCAUGGCAGGCGGCUUCAAGAUCUGGGGCGACACGGUUGCCAGGGUCGGCGGCGGUGGCGUGGCCGGAUCUAGGACCAGGUGUGAGCUUGGUCUCCGGGUCACGAUCGGCGCGAUGGCAAGUGCGACAUGUCGGCAGCUGGACGGAUCUGCGGGAUUCCAUCCUUGUCUAGUCCUUGACAACUCGAGCAACUCCGAGGGAAACCCUAGAUCCAUGGGAUCAAGCGAUGGCAGUGCUUUUGCGUCGUAGUCCCUCUUCGGGACAUCAUUUUAGAGUUUGCUAUGGUUGAAGGGACCAGCGAGGCAUGCGGCGUACGCCCGGUGUCGCAACUACCGAUGAAAAUUACGCCAACUACGGUCAUGGCGGACGAUGGCGGCGUCUUUGAUGUCGUUUCCUUGUCGAGACAUCGUCAUUGCAGUUGGCAUCAUCAUGCUCGGGAUGCUCCGGGGGAAACCCUAGAUCUGGGUCUCCCGGAUCGGACGAUAAUAGCGUUCUUAGUAUCGCUUUCCCUCAUCGGGGCAUCGUUUUGGAGCAAGUGAUGGCUGGAGGUGAUAAGAGGAGGAGCGGUGCUUCAUCAUACACAUUGGUGGUGUCGGAUCUCGAUGGCAUGGCACCCUGGAAAUUAGGCGUUUGAUGUGCGAUGAUGGACUCGCGUAGGAGGUCGACGCUCUCUGGCGUCGUGGUGGCAUCGGCGGCAGCUAGACCGGGCAAGGUACAUGCAGUAGUACAACUCUGAAGAUGGAUUGGUGGCAGGUGGCUGCGGCGGCCUCAUACCCGGCAGGCGUCCUGGUUGAGGAGCACGCUGGACUGGUGGGUGCCCAUGCCCGGCAGGAGUCCUGGUUGGGACCUCAGGUCUUAGAUGUUAGGUUUGGCUGCGAUGUCUCUUUGGUAUUAGGCCCAGACUAUCAGCGCCCCUUCAUCAACUGGAUUGGAUUAGCGACAGAUGUUGCUUAGACGGUGGCUUUAGUCUUAUUGUUGUAUGGUUUUGUAAGGUCUUGUGCUAAUAAUUAAUAAAAUGAUUGUAUGCAUCGCCCAGAUGCAGAGGCCGGGGGUCCUUCUCCUUUUCUAAAAAUCUAGUCAUUUAAGGUAGAUGUCGUGAUCUUCUUGUGUGACUGUCUCAUAGAUUUGAGCUGCAAAUCGAAUCUUAUAUUCUUCCAUUUUUUUUGAAUUUCCUGCAUGUAGUUAAUUAUUUUUUAUGAAUCCUUAAUGAUAAUUAACAUGGCCCAGAUAUUCACAAAAUAUCCAUAACUAUCAUGAACGAAUCAAUAAAUUACUAUUGCAGAAUGAAGAAUGAACCUUCCAUAGACCCCUCCACUUGGGCCCGUCGGUAGAGAGAUUCAUCACUCAUGGGCCACAAAAUGCGAGCCAAGUAGGACGACCUUCACUAAUGGGCCCUUAAGUUGGGCAUCAAUGGAGGGGCACCCAUGGGGCCCAAAGAUCCAACUGAAUGGACAGUCCAUCUCUACUGACGGUCAUACCGGAAUUUCCUAACGGACGCACAUUGUGUCAAGUUGCCACUGUUUCGCACAGAUGCCAGCGACUGGCGACCGAGAUGGGCCGGCCCAAUUACGAGCCCACAGAUGCGCUACAGUGUCCGGUUUUGGGAAACUUCUAGGAGGUUCCUGAGCGGUUUUGGGAACCUUCUAGAAGGUUCCUGAACCAGUUUUCCCUGGUUUAUUCUGUUUCUUUUUAUUUUUCUUUCAAUAUUGUUUAUUCUUUUUCAUUCUUUAUUUUUAUUUUUUCGUUUUGCCGUUUCUAUAUUCCAUUUUUUAUUUCUUUAAUUCCUUUUCCUUCUCUUUUUUCCUUCAGAAUUAAAAAAUAAUAAAAAUGUUCAGAAGUUAAGAAAAUUUUAUUGUUUAAAAAUUUUGUUCAUAAAUUGAAAAAUGUUCUUCUUUUCAAAAAACCUUCGCAUUUUUAAAAAAUGUUUGGCAUUUAAAAAAUGUUCCGCUUUCAAAAUAUUGUUCACAAAUUACAAAUAAUGUUCACUCUUUCCAAAUUUUGUUCAGAGUUUGGACAUGUUUGCAGACGUAAAAAUGUCCACCUUUUCCAGAAAUGUUCAUAUCUUUUUUUUCAAAAUUUGUUCACAAAUUCAAAAAUUCCUGUUUUUAUAAUUUGUUCACACAUCCAAAAAUUGUUCACACCUUUUAAAAAUUCUCAAAAUUUGUUCACAAAUUCAAAAAGCUUUCCAUUUUUAUAAUUGUUCACAGAUUAAAAAAUUGUUCAAAUCUUUAAAACUUGUUCGUGAUUCUAAAAAAAUGUUCAUAUCUUAAAAGAAAUCACAAAUUCGAACAAAUUCCUGUUCUCAAAAUUAGUUCACAAAUUAAAAAUGUUAUUUUUUGAAAAUUAUUCACAAAUUCAAAAAAAGUUCGCAUUUUGUCCAAACUUGUUCGUGAUUUGUCAAAAAAUGUUCGGAAUUUAAAAAAAUGUACCCGUUCUUUCAAGAUUUGUUCACAAAUUAAAAAAUUAUUUCCCUGUUUAAAUUUGGUUCACAAUUCAAAAAAUCAUGUUUUUUAAACUUCAAUUUUUUGCACGUGUCUAACAAAAUAGGUCAGAGUUUUGAAAAUUGUUCCUUUUUAAAAAAUUGUCCAGAACUGCAAAAUUGUUCCUGUUUUUAAAAUUCGAAUAAUUGCGACCAUUUGUUGAAACUCGUGUGCAUUUUUGCCAAAAACAUUUGGACUUUUAAAAAUAUAUUCAGAAUUAACAAGAAAAGAUUUAAAAAGGAAAAAUAAUGUGACCUGCCGUUGUGACCAGUACUAGUCGUGGUGGCUAGCUAGCUUCGUAUAAAAAAGCACGAUCGCGAGCUCGAGUCCUAGCUCUCGCUUCGAGUUUUUCGUUGCCUUUUUAACACUGCACGCUGCCUGCGUGGGCCGGCCCAGUCGGGCGCCUAACCUGUGCGAUCGCUCGACAUUCUGCCGCAGAAUGCGGCAGAUAGGAAGUCCCGGUCAUACCACACCACCCGUCAAUGUUGGGCGCCCCGUUAGUGCUGAAUUAAGGUAUUUCUAUCUGCUAGAGACGAAGUGGCCUUAUAUGGGCUUUCUCUUUUCUCCUAAACAAAACCAAGCCACCUCCCCCAAUCCAUUCCUCCCCAACGUCAUCACCACCCAAUGUUUUUGUCUCCUUACAUGUGUGCCCCCUCCUUCUUCCACAUUGAUCUGGUCCAACGCUACCGUCUCAUCCCCGCGAUCAUCGUCACUACUCUUCGAUUACUCGUGAUGGCGCGGGUUGUGGCUUCCCACUUGCUCUCUCGUAAGAGUGGUUGGGUAAACCCCAAGUGUAAGGAUGAAGUAACCUAGUAAUAAGCAUUUUCCCCGAUAGGUUUAUCAAACCAGUAGGAAUUUCUUCUACAACCCAAAUCCUCGGUACCUGCACACCAAACACAAAAUAAUCUUGCCCCAAACGUUUCAAGAAGGUUGUCAAGCUUCUUGUCCUGCUAGUUACAAGGAUUAGUUGUUAGUUGAAAGCAAAUAUCAGUUGCUAAGUAGCCUUAGUGUGGUUUGUACCUUCAGAUCUGCCAUGACACUGUCAACACUAUACUCGCCAUGCUUAGGGUUCAUCCUUUUUAUAUACACCAAGAUCAACCUAGGUGCUUCGCGUCGUACUAGCACUAAUCCAACCAUCAAUAUAAAUGAAAUGCCACCAUAAUUUCAAAGCUUAGUUGUUCAAAUACGAAUAUGAUGUGGUACUAAUAUUAGUUUAAAAUAGACACAUGUAGUUGGUCAGCCAAUGUUCCUUGUUGAGUUUCAAAAUACAUGUACACCACUUAUAGAGAGGCAUGAGUGAAUACUAUUUAUUUCUGCGAUCUCGUCCAUCAUGGAUGGGCAACGAACAUUGCAUUGUAUAGAAAGAAGGGUUAUAUAUAACCACCUUUUACAUAGAUGACGCUUUGCCUACGUGCUUUGUGUUGAAGUAGCAACACUCCACCUUUCAAGCUAAACAACAUGACACUCAUAAUUUCAAAGCUUAUUUUGUCAAAUACGAAUUUGAUAUGAUACUGAUAUUAGUUAAAAUGACACACAUUAAUUGUCAGCUAAUGUUCCUACUUCAGUUUUGAAAUGCAUAUCUGCCCCUUAUAGAGAGACAAGAGAGGUUUCUAUCUCUCUAUCCGCUCUUGUCAUCAUGGUUGGGGGGUGAACUUUGUAUAUCGUAUAGUUUGAAGCUGUCAUCUACCAACAAUCAUCACUUCUGGAGAUCUCAACUAGGAGCCUUUUUUGAGUAGUAGGGCCAUAUUAUAUUAAUACACACACCAAAUUACAACUCACAUAGCAUCUCUCGGCAGACUUCCAGAGAUAGUACGCAGGGGUUUAUAAGGAGUCACUAUUGGGGUAGAAUCGGCAAUGCAUUUGUUACACCCCGAUUCAGAGAACCGGAGGUCCCCGUGUUCCAGCCCAGAUAUCCAUUCGUCUGGAACACGACUAUAGCUUGGUACAGAUAGACCAAAAUAAAUAAGUACUUAUGUACAUUAAGGAGACAUGUCUAAGUGUGAGAAGCUCGAGGGCUUUAUUCUACGAGUGGCUUAAGGAAGUACUAAAGACGAAAAUAAUACUAAUGACACAACAGAAGACGGGGUACCAGUGGGGCUCCAAUCUAAAGAGACACUGCUGGUACACGAACUCUUAGGGGAACUCUUCUAUCGGCUCUCUAGUAUCUAGCAUGAUAAGUCAGGUGAGUACUUAAUUUGAAUGUACUCGCAAGCUCACAAACAAUCCAAAGCAAGCAAGAACGGAGCAAAUAAACAUAGCAACGAAGUAAGGACUAGUAAAGCUACUACUAUCAAGACUACUCCAUAGACUUCUUGUCUGCUCGUUUAACAUCUACUGGACUUCUUCUUGAAAUGAGUCCUGCUCAAACGACUCAACAAUAUAAGUUACCUGUUACCACAGUUACUAGAGUUGAAAGUAAAGGAAUAUGGGUACUUGGUCAAAUAGUGUGACCUAACACAAAUGGUGUCCCAUUGUCGGGGACUCGGCUAUUUGAAUAGUUUCAACACACACUCUGUAGAGGUCACACACUUUAAUUUACCCACACCAUAGAUUCUUUGUCUAAUGAAUCUCAUUCAUAGCAUGGCACUCUAACUAUUCCUCCGACCUCCCGCAGGCUAGCCCUGGGAGAGAGGAUCUGGGUCCUUGCCACUCUGUGUGGCACCACUUGUAUUCGCUUAGGAAUAUUUUCUAUUGAGCUCAUCCACAGACCCAGGCUCUCUUGACUGAAUGGCAACUUCCAAGCCAGAGGAAGUCUACACAUUCCAGCUUCCCUCUUCAGAGACACACAAAAGAUACAUACCUAGAAACGGAAUAAGGCCCUCCCAUUCGGCUAGAUGUGGCUAUACUGAGGUUGUUCCGCUUUGUGGCAUUUGGAUUGGCUAGCUAUUUAAAGUUGGGUUAAGAAGGAAAGUAAAACCGUAACUUUGUACUAGCUAUUCAAAUCCACAACUUGUUAUCCUACUAGGGUGAAGUAUUCACGAGGAUUCAUCAUCCUAAGUAGAGGCUUUCCCCGAGAUCCUUUGUGAACAUUGAUACCUAUUUUGCUUAUGAUUCAUGUUGGCAAAAUAAUUACCGGUUACGAGUCAUAGUUAAACUUCUAUUCCACUAGGACCAAAUAAAGGUAUCCUUGCUAGUGACUCACUAUGCUAUUUCAACCACAACAAACUUGACAUAAGCAAAGGGAAGCAAUAAAGAACACUGAAAGAAAAGUAAUGCGGGAAAAGAAAUGCAAGUUGAAUCCAUGGCCUUGCAAUGCAAGUUGAACCUAUAGUGUUAUAGCCAUGGCUCACGCUCAUGUAUUGCAUGGGGCUGAAAAUCUUGAAGCGCGUUAGAAGUGUUAAGCUUCAUGCACUAGCCAACGCAGCCAAAAGUCUGAACUGAUGGAAAGGGCUAGUACAAUCCACAUAUACUAUAACACCCUCUCUCACGUGGGACGGGGAAGACAAGUCAACACAUGCAACCGGAAGAGAGCGACGGCACGCGAAACUCAGGUAUGACUCAAGAGGCCUAUACGUGGACACAAAGGAGGGCUGUCAGCAAUUUUUAAAUAAGUUGCACAAACCAGGACUUGAACUCAAGACCUUAACUCCAAUACCAUGUUAAGCUUCAUUGACUCACUGAAAAACCAGCGGCAGUCACCACAGAGGCAAAACGCUCAAACAAGGCGCGGGGGGCUUGCUUAAGGCCAUAGAGAGAGCGACGAAGACGAGAUACCAUGCCAUCAGGAACAGAAUACCCAGGUGGUGGCUGCAUGUAUACCUCCAUUUGCCUGGUUUGACACCGGGGUGCUCAUGAUUUAUAUAUAUGCAAUGAAGGCGGAGUCAUGCCAUGCUAACAUGAUAAAAUGAGUGGGGAUAACAUUCGUUAAUGAUCGUAUAUUUUGAAAAAGUAAUGAUUAUGUUUCUUAUAUUCAUGGAAAUUAUUAUGUUGAUAUUGUUACUUCAUUGUUUCUCAAUAACUAUAUCAUAAAGAUAUUACAUGAUACAUAUGUUUGUUGGGGAACGUAGUAAUUUCAAAAAAAUUCCUACGCACACGCAAGAUCAUAGUGAUGCAUAGCAACAAAAGGGGAGAGUGUUGUCUAUGUACCCUCGUAGACCGAAAGCGGAAACGUUAGAACAACGCGGUUGAUGUAGUCGUACGUCUUCACGGCCCGACCAAUCAAGCACCGAAACUACGACACCUCCGAGUUCUAGCACACGUUCAGCUCGAUGACGUCCUUCGAACUCCGAUCCAGCCGAGUGUCGAGGGAGAGUUCCGUCAGCACUACGGCAUGGUGACGAUCUUGAUUUUCUACCGUUGCAAGGCUUCUCCUAAGCACCGCUACAAUAUUAUCAAGGAGGACUAUGGUGGAGGGGGGCACCGCACACGGCUAAGAGAUCAAGAGAUCAAUUGUUGUGUCUAGAGGUGCCCCCCUGCACCCGUAUAUAAAGGAUCAAGGGGAAGGGGGCGGCCGGCCAGGAGGAGGUGCGCCAAGGGGGGAGUCCUACUCCCACCGGGAGUAGGACUCCUCCUUCCCUUGUUGGAGUAGGAGAGAAGGAAAGAGGGGGAGAGGAGGAAGGAAAAGAGGGCUGCACCCCUUGUCCAAUUCGGACCAGAGUGGGGCUGUGCGCCUCCUUCCUUUCGGCCUCUCUCCUCUAUUCCCGUAUGGCCCAAUAAGGCCCAUAUACUCCCCGGCGAAUUCCCGUAACUCUCCGGUACUGUGAAAAAUACCCGAAUCACUCGGAACCUUUCCGAAGUCCGAAUAUGGUCGUACAAUAUAUCGAUCUUUACGUCUCAACCAUUUCGAGACUCCUCGUCAUGUCCCCGAUCUCAUCCGGGACUCCGAACUCCUUUGGUACAUCAAAACUCAUAAACUCAUUAUAUAACUGUCAUCGAAACUUUAAGCGUGCGGACCCUAUGGGUUCGAGAACUAUGUAGACAUGACCGAGACACGUUUCCGGUCAAUAAACAAUAGCGGAACCUAGAUGCUCAUAUUGGCUCCUACAUAUUCUACGAAGAUCUUUUAUUGGUCAAACCACAUAACAACAUACGUUGUUCCCUUUAUCAUCGGUAUGUUACUUUCCCGAGAUUUGAUCGUCGGUAUCCAAUACCUAGUUCAAUCUCGUUACCGGCAAGUCUCUUUACUCGUUCCGUAAUGCAUCAUUCCGUAACUAACUCAUUAGCUACAUUGCUUGCAAGGCUUAUAGUAAUGUGCAUUACUAAGAGGGCCCAGAGAUACCUCUUCGACAAUCGGAGUGACAAAACCUAAUCUCGAAAUACGCCAACUCAACAUGUACCUUUGGAGAUAGCUGUAGAGCUCCUUUAUAAUCACCCAGUUACGUUGUGACGUUUGGUAGCACACAAAGUGUUCCUCCGAUAAACGGGAGUUGCAUAAUCUCAUAGUUAUAGGAACAUGUAUAAGUCAUGAAGAAAGCAGUAGCAACAUACUAAAUGAUCAAGUGCUAAGCUAACGGAAUGGGUCAUGUUAAUCACAUCAUUAUCCUAAUUAUGUGAUCCCGUUAAUCAAAUGACAACUCAUGUCUAUGGUUAGGAAACAUAACCAUCUUUGAUUAAUGAGCUAGUCAAGUAGAGGCAUACUAGUGACAUUAAGUUUUGUCUAUGUACUCACACAUGUAUCAUGUUUCCGGCUAAUACAAUUCUAGCAUGAAUAAUAAAAAUUCAUCAUGAUAUAAGGAAAUAAAUAAUAACUUUAUUAUUGCCUCUAGGGCAUAUUUCCUUCAGUCUCCCACUUGCACUAGAAUCAAUAAUCUAGUUCACAUCGCCAUGUGAUUUAACACCAAUAUUCACAUCUGUAUGUGAUUAAUACCCAAUAGUUCACAUUGUCAUGUGAUCAACACCCAAAGGGUUUACUAGAGUCAAUAAUCUAGUUCACAAAUCUAUGUGAUUAACACCCAAAGAGUACUAAGGUAUGAUCAUGUUUUGCUUGUGAGAGAAGUUUAGUCAAUGGGUCUGUCACAUUCAGAGCCGUAUGCAUUUUGCAAAAAUUCUAUGUCUACAAUGCUCUGCACGGAGCUACUUUAGAUAAUUGCUCCCACUUUUAAUAUGUAUCCAGAUUAAGACUUAGAGUCAUCUGGAUCAAUGCCAAAACUUGUAUUGACGUAACCCUUUACGACGAACCUUUUUUCACCUCCACAAUCGAGAAACAUAUCCUUAUUCCACUAAGGAUAAAUUUGACCAAUGUCCAGUGAUCUACUCCUAGAUCACUAUUGUACUCCCUUGCCAAACCAGGACAGAGUAUACAAUAGGUCUGGUCCAUAGCAUGACAUACUUUUAUAGAACCUAUGACUGAUGCAUAGGGAAUGACUUUCAUUCACUUUCUAUUUUCUGCCGUGGUCCGGAUUUGAGUCUUACUCAAUUUCUUACCUUUGCAACAUAGGCUAGAACUCUUUCUUUGACUGUUCCACUUUGAACUAUUUCAAAAUCUUGUCAAGGUAUGUACUCAUUGAAAAUAUUAUCAAGCGUCUUGAUCUAUCUCAAUAGAUCUUGAUGCUCAAUAUGUAAGUAGCUUUACUGAGGUCUUUCUUUUAAAGAACUCCUUUCAAACACUUCUUUAUGCUUUCCAGAAUUUUUUUAUAUCAUUUCUGAUCAACAAUAUGUCACUCACAUAUACUUAUCAGAAAGGCUGUAGUGCUCCCACUCAUUUUAUUGUAAAUGCAUGCUUCACUGCAAGUCCAUAUAAAACUAUAUGCUUUGAUCAAAGCGUAUAUUCCAACUCCGAGAUGCUUGCACCAGUCCAUAGUUGGAUCGCUAGAGCUUGCACAAUUUGUUAGCACCUUUAGGAUUGACAAAACCUUCUGAUUGCAUCAUAUACAACUCUUCUUUAAUAAAUCCAUUAAAGAAUGCAGUUUUGACAUCCAUUUGCCAGAUUUCAUAAAAUGUGGCAAUUGCUAAUAUGAUUCGGACAGACUUAAGCAUCGAUACGAGUGAGAAAAUCUCAUCGUAUUCAACACCUUAAACUUGUCAAAAAACUUUUGCGACAAGUCGAGCUUUGUAGAUAGUAACACUACUAUCAGCGUCUGUCUUCCUCUUGAAGAUCCAUUUAUCUUCCAUGGCUUGCCGAUCAUCGGGCAAGUCCACCAAAGUCCACACUUUGUUCUCAUACAUGGAUCUCAUCUCAGAUUUUAUGGUCUCAACCCAUUUUGCGGAAUCUGGGAUCAUCAUCGCUUCCUCAUAGUUUGUAGGUUCAUCAUGGUAUAGUAACAUGACCUCCAUAAUAGGAUUACCGUACCACUCCGGUGCGGAUCUUACUCUGGAAGACCUACGAGGUUCUGUAGUAACUUAAUCUGAAGUUUCAUGAUCAUCAUCAUUAGCUUCCUCACUAACUGGUGUAGGAAUCACUGGAACUGAUUUCUGUGAUGAACUACUUUCCAAUUCGGGAGAAGGUACAAUUACCUUAUCAAGCUCUACUUUCCUCCCACUCACUUCUUUCGAGAGAAACCCCUUCUCUAGAAAGGAUCCAUCUUAGCAACGAAUAUUUUGCCUUCGGAUCUGUGAUAGAAGGUGUACCCAACAAUUUCCUUUGGGUAUUCUAUGAAGACGCACUUCUCUGAUUUGGGUUCGAGCUUAUCAGGUUGAAAUUUUUUCUCAUAAGCAUCGCAGCCCCAAACUUUAAGAAACGACAGCUUAGGUUUAUUGCUAAACCAUAGUUCAUACGGUGUCGUCUCAACGGAUUUAGAUGGUGCCCUAUUUUAACGUGAAUGCAGCUGUCUCUAAUGCAUAGCCCCAAAACAAUAUUGGUAAAUCGGUAAGAGACAUCAUAGAUCGCACCAUAUCCAAUAAAGUGCGGUUACGACGUUCGAACGCACCACUACGAUGUGGUGUUCCAGGUGGCAUGAAUUGUGAGACUAUUCCACAUUGUUUUUAUACGAAAGCCAAACUCGUAACUCAAAUAUUCUCCUCCACGAUCAGAUCGUAGAAACUUUAUUUUCUUGUUACGAUGAUUCUCCACAUCACUCUGAAAUUCUUUGAACUUUUCAAAUGUUUCAGACUUGUGUUUUAUUAAGUAGAUAUACUCAUAUCUUGCUCAAAUCAUCUUGUGAAGGUCUGAAAAUAACGAUACCCGCCACGAGCAUCAAUACUCAUUGGACCGCAUACAUCAGCAUGUAUUAUUUCCAAUAAGUCACUAGCUCGUUCCAUUGUUCCGGAGAACGGAGUUUUAGUCAUCUUGCCCAAAAGGCACGGUUCGCAAGCAUCAAAUGAUUCAUAACCAAGUGAUUCCAAAAAUCCAUCUUUAUGGAGUUUCUUCAUGCGCUUUACACCGAUAUGACCCAAACGGUAGUGCCACCAAUAAGUUGCACUAUCACUAUAAACUUUGCAUCUUUUUGGCAUCAAUAUUAUGAAUAUGUGUAUCACUACGAUCGAGAUCCAAUAAACUAUUUUCAUUGGGUGUAUGACCAUCGAAGGUUUUAUUCAUGUAAAUAGAACAACAAUUAUUCUCUGACUUUAAAUGAAUAACCAUAUUGCAAUAAACAUGAUCAAAUCAUAUUUAUGCUCAACGCAAAAGCCAAAUAACAUUUAUUUAGGUUUAACACUAAUCCCAAAAGUAUAGGGAGUGUGCGAUGAUGAUCAUAUCAAUCUUGGAACUACUUCCAACACUGAUCGUCACUUCACCCUCAACUAGUCUCUGUUUAUUCUGUAACUCUUGUUUCGAGUUACUAAUUUUUUAGCAACCGAACAAGUAUCAAAUACUCAGGGGCUACUAUAAACACUAGUAAGGUACACAUCAAUAACCCGUAUAUCAAAUAUACCCUUGUUCACUUUGCCAUCCUUCUUAUCCACCAAAUAUUCAGGGCAUUUGCGAUUCCAGUGACCAUUUCCUUUGCAGUGUAAGAACUCAGUUUCAGGCUUUGGUCCAGCCUUGGGCUUCUUCACGGGAGUGACAACUUGCUUGUCAUUCUACUUGAAGUUCCCUUUCUUUCCCUUUGCCCUUUCUUUGAAACUAGUGGUCUUGUUAAUCAUCAACACUUGAUGCUCUUUCUUGAUUUCUACCUUCGUCGAUUUCAGCAUCACGAAGAACUCGGGAAUCGUUUUCAUCAUCCCUUGCAUUAUAGUUCAUCACGAAGUUCCAGUAACUUGGUGAUGGUGACUAGAGAACUCUGCCAAUCACUAUCUUAUCUGGAAGAUUAACUCCCACUUGAUUCAAGCGAUUGUAGUACUCAGACAAUCUCAGUACUUGCUCACUAUUUGAGUAAUUCUCCUCCAUCUUUUAGGCGAAGUAUUUGUCAAAGGUCUCAUACCUCUUGACACGGGCAUGAGUCUGAAAUACCAAUUUCAUCUCUUGAAACAUAUUAUAUGUUCCAUGAUGUUUCAAAAACGUUUUUGUAGUCCCGGUUCUAAGACAUAAAGCAUGGUGCACAAAACUAUCAAGUAGUCAUCAUAUUGAGCUAGGCAAACGUUCAUAACGUCUGAAUCUGCUCCUGCAAUAGGUCUGUCACCUAGCGGUGCAUAAAGGACAUAAUUCUUCUGUGCAGCAAUGAGGAUAAACCUCAGAUCACGGACCAAGUCCGCAUCAUUGCUACUAACAUCUUUCAACUUAGUUUUCUCCAGGAACACAUAUAAAACAUAGGGAAGCAACAACGCGAGCUAUUGAUCUACAACAUAAUUUGCAAAAUACUACCAGGACUAAGUUCAUGAUAAAUUAAAGUUCAAUUAAUCAUAUUACUUAAGAACUCCCACUUAGACAGACAUCUCUCUAGUCAUCUACGUGAUCACGUAAUCCAAAUCAACUAAACCAUGUCCGAUCAUCACGUGAGAUGGAGUAGUUUUCAAUGGUGAACAUCACUAUGUUGAUCAUAUCUACUAUAUGAUUCACGUUCGACCUUUCGGUCUCCAUGUUCCGAGGCCAUAUCUGUAUAUGCUAGGCUCGUCAAGUUUAACCUGAGUAUUCCACAUGUGCAACUGUUUUGCACCCGUUGUAUUUGAACGUAGAGCCUAUCACACCCGAUCAUCACGUGGUGUCUCAGCACGAAGAACUUUCACAAUGGUGCAUACUCAGGGAGAACACUUCUUGAUAAUUAGUGAGAGAUCAUCUUAAAAUGCUACCGUCAAUCAAAGCAAGAUAAGAUGCAUAAAGGAUACACAUCACAUGAAUCAACAUAAGUGAUAUGAUAUGGCCAUCAUCAUCUUGUGUUUGUGGUCUCCAUCUCCGAAGCACCGUCGUGGUCACCAUUGUCACCGGAGCGACACCUUGAUCUCCAUCGUAGCAUCGUUGUUGUUUCGCCAUCUAUUGCUUCUACGACUAUCGCUACCGCUUAGUGAUAAAGUAAAGCAAUUACAGGGUGCUUGCAUUUCAUACAAUAAAGCGACAACCAUAUGGCUCCUGCCAGUUGCCGAUAACUCAGUUACAAAACAUGAUCAUUUCAUACAAUAAAAUAUAACAUCACGUCUUGACCAUAUCACAUCACAACAUGCCCUGCAAAAACAAGUUAGACGUCCUCUACUUUGUAGUUGCAAAUUUUACGUGGCUGCUACAGGCUAAGCAAGAACCGUUCUUACCUACGCAUAAAAACCACAACGAUAGUUCGUCAAGUUAGUGCUGUUUUAACCUUCACAAGGACCGGGCGUAGCCACACUCGGUUCAACUAAAGUUGGAGAAACUGACACCCGCCAGCCACCUGUAUGCAAAGCACGUCGGUAAAACCAGUCUCGCGUAAGUGUACGUGUAAUUUCGGUCCAGGCCGCUUCAUCCAACAAUAUCGCCGAACCAAAGUAUGACUUGCUGGUAAGCAGUAUGACUUGUAUCGCCCACAACUCACUUGUGUUCUACUCGCGCAUAUAACAUUUACGCAUAAAACCUGGCUCGGAUGCCACUAUUGGGGAACGUAGUAAUUUCAAAAAAUUUCCUACGCAUACGCAAGAUCAUGGUGAUGCGUAUCAACAAGAGGGGAGAGUGUUGUCUACGUACCCUCAUAGACCGAAAGCGGAAGCGUUAGAACAAUUUGGUUGAUGUAGUCGUACGUCUUCACGGCCCGAUCAAUCAAGCACCAAAACUACGGCACCUCCGAGUUCUAGCAUACGUUCAGCUCGAUGACAUCCUUCAAACUUCGAUCCAGCCAAGUGUCGAGGGAGAAUUCCGUUAGCACGACGGCGUGGUGACGAUCUUGAUGUUCUACCGUCGCAGGGCUUCUCCUAAGCACCGCUACAAUAUUAUCGAGGAGGACUAUGAUGGAGGGGGGGGGCACCGCACACGACUAAGAGAUCAAGAGAUCAAUUGUUGUGUCUAGAGGUGCCCCCUGCCCCCGUAUAUAAAGGAUCAAGGGGGAGGAGGCGGCCGGCCAGGAGGAGGCGCGCCAAGGGGGGAGUCCUACUCCCACCGGGAGUAGGACUCCUCCUUCCCUUGUUGGCGUAGGAGAGAAGGGAAGAGGGGGAGAGGAGGAAGGAAAAGGGGGCUGCACCCCUUGUCCAAUUCGGACCAGAGGGGGGCUGCGCGCCUCCUUCCUUUCGGCCUCUCUCCUCUAUUCCCGUAUGGCCCAGUAAGGCCCAUAUACUCCCACACGAAUUCACGUAACUCUCCGGUACUCCGAAAAAUACCCGAAUCACUCGGAACCUUUCUGAAGUCCGAAUAUAGUCAUCCAAUAUAUCGAUCUUUACGUGUCGACCAUUUCGAGACUCCUCGUCAUGUCCCCGAUCUCAUCUGGGACUCCGAACUCCUUCGGUACAUCAAAACUCAUAAACUCAUAAUAUAACUGUCAUUGAAACCUUAAGCGUGUGGACCCUACGGGUUCGAGAACUAUGUAGACAUGACCGAGACACGUUUCCGGUCAAUAACCAAUAGCGAAACCUGGAUGCUCAUAUUGGCUCCUACAUAUUCUACGAAGAUCUUUUAUCGGUCAAACCGCAUAACAAUAUACGUUGUUCCCUUUGUCAUCGGUAUGUUACUUGCCCGAGAUUUGAUCGUCGGUAUCCAAUACCUAUUUCAAUCUCGUUACUGGCAAGUCUCUUUACUCGUUCCGUAAUGCAUCAUUUCGUAACUAACUCAUUAGUUACAUUGCUUGCAAGGCUUAUAGUGAUGUGCAUUACCGAGAUGGCCCAGAGAUACCACUCCGACAAUCGAAGUGACAAAACCUAAUCUCGAAAUAUGCCAACUCAACAUGUAUCUUUGGAGACACCUGUAGAUCUCCUUUAUAAUCACCCAGUUAUGUUGUGAUGUUUGGUAGCACACAAAGUGUUCCUCUGGUAAACGGGAGUUGCAUAAUCUCAUAGUUGUAGGCACAUGUAUAAGUCAUGAAGAAAGUAUACGCCAACUCAACAUGUACCUUUGGAGACACCUGUAGAGCUCCUUUAUAAUCACCCAGUUACGUUGUGACGUUUGGUAGCACACAAAGUGUUCCUCCGGUAAACGGGAGUUGCAUAAUCUCAUAGUUGUAGGAACAUGUAUAAGUCAUGAAGAAAGCAGUAGCAACAUACUAAACGAUCAAGUGCUAAGCUAACGGAAUGGGUCAUGUCAAUCACAUCAUUCUCCUAAUGAUGUGAUCCCGUUAAUCAAAUGACAACUCAUGUCUAUCGUUAGGAAACAUAACCAUCUUUGAUUAAUGAGCUAGUCAAGUAGAGGCAUACUAGUGACAUUAAAUUUUGUCUAUGUAUUCACACAUGUAUCAUGUUUCCGGCUAAUACAAUUCUAGCAUGAAUAAUAAACAUUCAUCAUGAUAUAAGGAAAUAAAUAAUACCUUUAUUAUUGCCUCUAGGGCAUAUUUCCUUCAAUGUUAGCUAGCAUUACACAUCAAAAUUUUUGUUUUUAUCAUUUACCUAUUCGAGGAUGAGCAGGAAUUAAGCUUGAGGAUGUUGACAUGUCCAACAUAUCUAUAAUUUUUUAUUGUUUCAUGCUAUCAUAUGAUCAAUCUUGGAUGCUUUAUAUGUAUUUUAUACUAUUUUAUAUCUUUUUGGACUAACCUAUUAUUUUGAAAAAAAAUUGAAUUGUUUGGAUUGCUUACCACAUGUGUCACGUGGUUUGGGACUAACUUUUUAACCCAAUGCCUAGUGCUAGUUAAUGUUUUUUUUGCUUGUUUUUGGCUCUUCAGAAAAACAAUACCAAAUGAACUUCAAACAUGAUGAAACUUUACGGUAAUUUUUUCUGGACUAGAAGAGGCCCUAGAAGGUUCGGGAGGAGGCUAGAAGAUCUACGGAAGAGCCACGAGCUCACAGGGCACGCCCCCGAGCUCAUGGGCCCCACGCAGCUCCGUUUGACCUAAUUUCAACUCCAUAACUUCACAUAUAUUUCCAAACCAAUAGAGAGCCACCCGAAACACUUUUUUUCCACCGCAAGCUUCUGUUCUUCCGUGAUCCCAUCUGGAGGCCUUUUCCGGUACUCUGCCGGAGGAGGAAUCGAUCAUGGAGGGCUUCUAUAUCAUCCUUGCUGCCUUUCGAUGAUGCAUGCAUAGUUCAUGACAGACCUACGGGUCCAUAUCUAGUAGGUAGAUGGCUUCAUCUCUCUCUUUGAUCUUCAAUACAAUGUUCUCCUCGAUUUUCUUAGAGCUUUUUUAUCCUAUGUAAUCUUUUUUUGCGGUGCGUUUAUUGGGAUGCAGUGAAUUAUGGGUUUAUGAUCAAAUUAUUAACUGAAAGUAAUUGUGUCUUUUCUGAGCUUUAUUAUGCAUGAUUGUUAUAGCUUCGUAUUAUCCUCCGAUCAAUUCGUUUGGUUUCGCCAACUAGAUUGAUUUAUCUUCAGUGGGAGAGGUGCUUUGUAAUGGGUUCAAUCUUGCGGUGUCCUCAUAUAGUGACAGAAGGGGAAGCAAGGCACAUAUAGUAUCGUUGCCAUUAAGGAUAAAACGACGUGGUUUAAUCAUAUUUCUUGAGUUUACUUUGUCUAGAUCAUGUCAUCUUGCUUAAGGUGUUACUCUGUUUGCCAUGAACUUAAUACGAUAGAUGCAUGCUAAAUAGCGGUCGAUUGGUGGAGUAAUACUAGUAGAUGUAGGCAGGAGUCGAUCUACUUGUCACAGACAUGACUAUAUACAUGAUCAUUGCCAUGAAUAUGUCAUAACUAUGUGUUUUUCUAUCGGUUGUCUAACAGUAAUUUGUUUACCCACAAUAUGCUACGUGUUCGAGAGAGAAGCCUCUAAUGAAAACUAUGGCGCUAGGUCUACUUUUAUCAUAUUAUUAAAACUAAAAAUACCUUCAUGCAAUUUUAUACUUUUUUUACUUUUCUUUUUAUCUAUCUAUCACUAUCAGAAUUAAUCCUUGCAAAUAAUGAGUUCAAGGGGAAUGACAAGACUCUUGCCGCGUUGGGUGCAAGUAUUUGCUUUUGUGUGUGUAGGUGCUGAAAAAGGGAAUUUGCGUGGUUCUCCUAUUGGUUUGAUAACCUUGGUUCUCACUGACGGGAAUACUUAUCUCUAUUGUAUUGCUCCACCCAUCCUCUUGGGGGAAAUCCCAACGCAGUUUAGAAGUAGCACUACUCCUCCUUCCUCCUCCAUAGACGCUUGGCGAAGCCCUGCCACAGCUCCACCAUAAAAUCCACCACCACGCCAUCGUGUUGGCCUAGAUCUCAUCUACCUAUCCCUGUCGCUUGCUGGAUGAAGGAGACAUCACCGAGCCAUACGUGUGCAUAUCCCUGAGGUGUCAUUCGUGCGGUGCUGGAUCGGAUUGGAUCACGAAGAGUGUACGACUACGCCAAGCACAUUCAUUAGAACGUUUCUGUUUUAGGUCUAGAAGGGUUUGUAGACUUUUCCCCCUCGUUGCUAGCAUCUAGUUGAUUAGAUCUCGGAUGUUUUCAUUGUCUCGUAGGAAAAAAAUUGUUUUUCAUGCAUUGAUUCUCAUCACCGACCUGCUUCAAAAGAAGCAGGUAGGAGCCCAGGCGGCCCGAGCUCAGCAGGUUGCCGGGUGGGAGGUCCCUAACAGGUGCAUCCAAGAAUGCAACAACCUCCAAGUAGAGAAGGCGUCCCUAACCGAGAGGACGAGACAACAAGAGCUGGAGCUGGAAGAAGUUAAGUCUCGCCUGGUCGAUGCCGGGAGCGUCGCGGCGGGCCCUUGAGAUCAUAGCCAGUGAGUCUGUCCAUGCUUCAACUCAUAAACUAGGUGGAAAUUUUAUUUGCCGAUCUGACAUACAAAUUCAUUAUUUCCAGCAUCUUUUCCCGACCUGCCAGCCAAUGCUGUUGGAGCGUCCCUUAGGGAGAAACUGCAGCAGUUUGGAGAGUUAAACAAGAUUGCGAGGCCGGUAAUGGAGGGUAUUUUCUUGGCCCUAUGGCCUGGAAGAAAGGUUGUCGGAAAACCAGUUUGACCUCUGCCGCCGCCUCCAGGAGGGGCAUGCUCGGAUUGCCCUGUGAAAGGCGUUAGUGGCCUGAGAAGAUGCUCGUCAAGCGUGGGCCAUGCUCCAGACCCACUAUCCGGGCUUGAACAUCUGCCCUAUUGCCGUAGUUGGUCCAAAAGGACCUGACGGUAAGGAGAUUAUGCCCUAUGCUAGGAUGUCCGAGCAGGAUUGUCGUUUGAAAAGAUUAUUGAAUAGGCUAGGAGUGUUACCCUGGAUUGUCAAGGACGAAACGUUGAAUAAAAACUUCUCGAAUUUCGCUACCACCAUGUUUAUUUUUUUCUAUACCAACAACAUGAUAGGUUUGCUCCGACCUGUUAGCAUACGCUUGCAUUAACCGGCCUUUGGCUUCAACCUCAACAACCAAAUGUGGAGGCCUUAUAAUUGAUGUUAACGCAAUGAGUAGGGAUCACCAUGCAACUAGGAUGCAAACAUAUCUAUGAAUAUAUGAAAUAUCUCGCAAGGAUUAAGUGGGGGUGUGUCCAACUUGUUUGCUCAUGAAGACCUCAAGCAUUUGAUAAAGCUCAUCAUCGGGAUAUACAAGGAAAAUUAUACAAUAUAAAUUCCCCAAGCUAGUAUAAAACAUGAAGCUCAUGAAACUUUAAUUAGAUGUAAAUUGUCCAGACCAACAAAAGUUCUUUAGUAAGGGUCUCUGACGAGAAUUUAUUUCAUCGAAAGUGUCCUACUCAGCUUGAGCUCAUAUGAAUUUUUUUAUUGCCGUGAAAAAGAUGAAUGCCAUUCUAUGAUGAAACCUUGCAAGGAUUUAUAACAUUUGUCAAAUUAAGCCACACACAAAAAAUCAGAAAUUUUUGAAUUCUCUCUAAAUAUUUUCAGAUUUUAUUGCUCACCCGAGCUCAUAUGAGCUCGAGCUCAGUUAAUCCGUGUCCAUGUUUCAUCCUACUCUACUAGCAAAAACCAAUGGAGCAGACGGUAGUGACGUGGAAAAGAAACCAUAACAAAUUUUUAGUGAUAUAUAAUUAAAGAAACAGAAAUUUACAAUUGCAAAUUAGGGAAUCUUAAUGUCAAAUACUGAAUUCUUCCACCCACUAGCUGUGAGACAUAUCCAUUGCAGUGCCAAAUAAAGAAGCUUUUCCAUGAAUUAAUAACAACAAGACAAUGGUCCGCGUGUUGUAUAUAAUAAAUAGAGUCCUGCUUCGGUACAACCCCCCUCGCAAUAUGUAUAAAGGGUAAUAUGGACUUUUCACAAUCUGUAUCUACUUCUGUACGUAACAUAUACGCCAGGCAGCUUACUUGGGCCGGCCCAUUUGCGGUGGCAUGCGAUGAAAAAUAGCGAAAAAGGAUCACACAAACUGGGAAUCGAAACCGACGACCACUUCAAAAUUUAACUGCGUCCACAACCACUGCGAUAGCAUGCCUUUGUUGAAUGAUCUAAAGUUGGAAACAAUAAAUAAUUGACAGGCUGGGAAUUUUAAAAAGAUUUCAGUAACACUUUCUGAACUGGCGUUUUUUCCAUAAUUUCUUUCUAUUUAUUUUCCUUUUCCUGCUAUUCUUCUUUCUUUUUCAAAAAUGUUCGCGCUUUCAAAAUGUUGUUCCAAAUUUCAAACGGUUCAUUAUUUCCAAGUUUUGUUCAUAAACUAAAAAUAUUUGCAUUUUUGAAAAUUGUAUUGUAAUUUGAAAAAAUGUUUGUGACUUUGAAAAAAUGUUCAGAAUGUAAAAUGUGAAUAAUGUUUUGAAAACCACAAAUAAAAUUGUGAAAAUGAACAUUUUCUGAGAGCACGGACAAAAAAUUAAAUUCCAAAGCAUUUUUCAGAAAUGAGACUAAAUAAAUGAUCUCAUAAAAUUAUUCUAAAUUUACACGAUUAUUUUUUAAAAUUUGUCAGAAUAUUUUUGAAAAUGAGAACAUUUUCUAAAUUCCGAACAAAUUCCAGUAGUCGCCCGACAAGAGCGAUGCCGUUGCUUAGUUGGGCAAGGCCUAAAGUUUUUUCUUUUCUAUUUUUUCGUUUUAUUCUCUUUUUUGUUAAUUUAUCUUUUCACCUUUUUGAACUUUAUGGUUCUUUUUUUUAACCUGCUCAAAAAAUUGAAAUACCAAAAUAAUAGUUUUAAGGAACUAUUUUAAAUUAUGAUUUUAAUUCUUUUUUUGUUUCAAUAUUUCUUAAAUGCUUUUUAAAAAGCAUCUGUUGUUUUCAAUUCUAUUAUUUAGUAUUUAUUGAUUAUUUUAGAAAUUUAAAAUGACAGUUUGAAGUAUCUAUAUAAAUUAUGAUUUUAAAUGACCCCAACAUUUGCCAGCUGGUGGCAUGGCCAUGGUAGGCAUCCAUGCCCCAAUAUUCUUUCAUGGCCUCGUAUGACCAAUUCAAUGCACCAUGACAAGUUGUUUUGGUUUUCGACAAAUUUUGUAUUUUUCUAGAGUUUUCUCGAUAAGAAAAUGCAAAAAAAGGCCGGACGUGUUGCAACUUUCAUACUGUGUCAGAAAUUGUUCAAACCUGGCAUGGAUGCCUAUGAGGGGCAUGCCCAUCUGGUGGCAAAAGUUGGGGCCAUUUUAAGGAUGUACUCCCUCCGUCCGAAAAUACUUGUCAUCAAAAUGGAUAAUAAGGGAUGUACGUAGAACUAAAAUACAUGUAGAUACAUCUCCUUUUAUCCAUUUUGAUGACAAGUAUUUUCGGACGGAGGAAGUAUAAAUAGACCAUGUUGAACAAACUGUGUUCUCGGGCAGAAGGAUUCGUCUGAGAGCAUGUUAGUUCUCGACAUCCUUGAAAUUAAUCCAAUUUUUUUCAAGGGCCUCGUAUGACCAAUUCAAGGCAUCAUGGAAAGUUGUUUGGGUUUUCAACAAGUUUUGCAUUUCCUGGAGUUUCUUGGUGAAAAAGUAACAAUUAAUGAUAGAACAUGUCGCAACGUGCAUACGGUGUCGGAAGUCAUUCAGACCAAGUAUGGAUGCCUAACAUGGGCAUGCCCACUUGCUUGCAAAAGUUGGGGGUAGUCCUGAUAUUUCCAAAGAAAUACCAUGUUGGAUGGAGAGUGUUCGAAUAGGCUAGAAGGAUCUGUUUGCGAGCUCCAUUUCUCAUGGCCUUGUAUAACCAAUUCAAGGCACCACACCAAAUUGUUUUGGUUUUGUCCAAUUUUGCGUUUUCUGAAGUUUUUGUGGUUAAGAAGGCCGAUAAAUGACCGGAUGUGUCAACACUUGAAUAUGGUGUAGAAAAACGUCCAAACUAGGCAUGUGCCUACCAUGGGCAUGCCUACCUUCUUGCAAAAGUGGGGUUCAUUUUAAAGAUGUUCAAAAAUAGACUAUGUUCAACGGAGAGUGUUCGAAUAGUGCAGAAGGGUCCGUUUGAAAGCUCGUUGUUUACUGACAUCUGUCAAAUAACCCCAAAUAUUUUUCAUGAGCUUCUAUGACCAAUUCAAGGCACAAUGCCAAUUUGUUUAGAUUUUUGAAAAGUUUUGUAUUUUCUAGAGUUUUCUCAUUGAAAGUAGGCCGAUAAAUGGUCGGACGUGUCACAACAUGUAAAGGGUGUCGGAAGUCAUUCAAACCUGGCGUGGAUGCCUCAUAUGUCCAAGCCAGGCUCUUGCAAGAAGGUGGGAUCAUUUAUCAAUAGCCUAAAAUAUACCAGUUAGAUGAGUUUAUUUCUAAUUCCCUUCAUUAUCACUCAACAUAAACAUUUUAUUUUUUCCUAACAAUUUCUUGAAAUUUCUCAACAAUUUUGGAACUUCAAAGUGUGUAUGAAAAAUUUACUAACUUGAACACUUUUUUCCAAAAUUGUUAACAAAUUACGAAAGAAUGAUGAAAAUUUCGAACAAAAAAGCAAACCGCGUACUUCUUAAAAAAAUUGUCAACUUUUUUGAAACACAUACAUUUCUUAAAUUUGUGAACAACAAAAUUCGAAAACUAGAACAUUUUAUGAAAUUCCAGAAUAUUUUUUAUAAUUUAAACAAUAUUUGAAAACAAAAUCAUUUUAUGUUAUGCCAAACAUUUUUUCCAAAAUUUGAACAAGUUUCACAAAGAUUAAUAAAGUUCAAAAGUAGAAAAAUGAAUUAACAAAAAGAGAAAAAAAAAGAAACUAACUGCAAUGAAAAAAAUGCUUAGGCCCUAGAAAAUAAGAAUGUUUCCGGAAAAUUUAAGUAUAUUUGGAAAAAUAUUCGUAAAUUUUAAAAAUUGUUUGUGUUUUUGAAUAAUGCUCGCCAAUUUGAAAAAGUUUUGCAUUUUAAAAAAAUGUUCAGAUAUUUCAAAAUUGUUUAUGUUUUCAAGAAAAUGGUCACAAAUGUGAUAAAUUAUUCAUCUUUUCAAAAAAAUCUGCAGUUUCAGAUAUAUGUUUACAAUACUGAAAAACUGUUCUUAAACUUUCAAAAAUAUUCACAAAAUCAAAGUAUUUUUCAUAAAAAAGGGUUCGGGAAUUUGAAAAAAAUGCGUUUCCAAAAGAAGUCCAAAUUUUGAAAAAUGUUUCGUAUUUUUAAAAAUAUUCCAAUAGAUGAAAAAACACAUUAGGUUUUUUAGCUAUAAAAAAUGCUUUAGCUAGAAUGUCCUGCCCAGUUGUGUUUUCCAAAAGAAGUCCGUGCACCAAUUUUGAUCUGCUAGAGUAUUUCUAGUAAAAAAAAAGCUCCUACAGUACGUCUGUUCUAGGUAAUAAACAACUACACUUCAAAAAUAUCAGCAAAUCCAGAUGGUUCUGGUGGCUAUUAGCAGUUUCCCAACCGCUGGAGGUCCUGUGUUCGAUGCCCAAUAGGCACACUAUGUUUUGGAUUUUUGAUCGGUGCUACCGCACAUACUCUCUCUAAUGGGCCGGCCCAAAAUAGACUCAGAACAUGACAGAUCUUCGCGACGUAUUUUCUUGAAAGACCAUCCUACUCUUUAUUAUGAAAAGGUAUAGACAGAUCUCGUCCAUUGAUGUAUUCGGGGGUUGUGCCGAAGAAGAAGAUAUAGACCUAUGAGGAAUUACGUAUGCAUGCUCAAGAACCUAUGUUCGUACAUACAUACACAAAAUCAUAUAGAACAAAAGGUAUGCUCCGGUCAGAAAGCAGAGUCGUACAGCAGAGUUUUGGACAAAAGUGAAGUUCACAAAAGACCUUCAUACGAGAUAGGCCAUUGUUUCAACUCGUAGUUUAGGCCUUGCCGGACUCCUCGCAACCCGGUGGCCUAAAGGCGAUGAAGCUGACGCACUGCACCUGGCGCAGGUUGUCGAAGCCGAUGACACGGACAUAGGCGUCAGGGUACUCCUUCUUGACCUCCUCCACCUCGUUCAGCACCUGUGUGGCGUCAG
This 25179-nucleotide long non-coding RNA is filed under the name Triticum aestivum (bread wheat). RNAcentral describes it as "long non-coding RNA (TAES_LNC021807)". The stretch from base 22475 to 22609 matches the Rfam family "MIR1120/MIR1122 microRNA precursor family". The record is from RNAcentral. Lineage: Eukaryota; Viridiplantae; Streptophyta; Magnoliopsida; Poales; Poaceae.